AUUGAACGCUGGCGGUAUGCUUAAUACAUGCAAGUCGAACGGUAACAGGCCCUUCGGGUGCUGACGAGUGGCGGACGGGUGAGUAAUGCGUAGGGAUCUGCCUUGUUGUGUGGGAUAGCCUAGGGAAACUUAGGGUAAUACCGCAUAAUCCUGAGAAGGAAAAGCCGGGGACUGUAAAAGGCCUGGCGCAAUAAGAUGAGCCUACGUCGGAUUAGCUAGUUGGUGGGUAAAGGCCUACCAAGGCGACGAUCCAUAGCUGGUCUGAGAGGAUGAUCAGCCACACUGGGACUGAGACACGGCCCAGACUCCUACGGGAGGCAGCAGUGGGGAAUAUUGGACAGUGGGCGAAAGCCUGAUCCAGCAAUGCCGCGUGAGUGAUGAAGGCCUUAGGGUUGUAAAGCUCUUUUACCCGAGAUGAUAAUGACAGUAUCGGGAGAAUAAGCUCCGGCUAACUCCGUGCCAGCAGCCGCAU
Molecule: ribosomal RNA, 472 nt
Filed under: uncultured bacterium
Lineage: Bacteria
Description: bacterial SSU rRNA
Rfam family: Bacterial small subunit ribosomal RNA
Source: RNAcentral